CCAAUAGCGUAUAUUAAAGUUGUUGCAGUUAAAAAGCUCGUAGUUGAAUUUCGGAAUUUGUCGGUUGGUCGGGCUUCACUGUCCGCACUGACCUGAUGAAUUUCUACCUUCUGAAUAACCAGCAUGCCAUUUAGUUAGUGCGUUGGGGAAGCAGAGCUAUUACCUUGAAAAAUUAGAGUGCUUAAAGCAGGCUUAUGCUUGAAUAGAUUAGCAUGGAAUAAUAAAAUAGGACGGCAUGGUUCUAUUUUGUUGGUUUCUAGGAUCACCGUAAUGAUUAAUAGGGAUAGUUGGGGGCAUUAGUAUUCAAUUGUCAGAGGUGAAAUUCUUGGAUUUAUUGAAGACUAACUUCUGCGAAAGCAUUUGCCAAGGAUGUUUUCAUUAAUCAAGAACGAAAGUUAGGGGAUCGAAGACGAUCAGAUACCGUCGUAGUCUUAACCAUAAACUAUGCCGACUAGGGAUCGGACGAUGUUAAUUUUUAAUGACUCGUUCGGCGCCUUACGGGAAA
Molecule: ribosomal RNA, 505 nt
Filed under: uncultured Glomeromycotina
Lineage: Eukaryota; Fungi; Glomeromycota
Description: SSU rRNA
Rfam family: Eukaryotic small subunit ribosomal RNA
Source: RNAcentral